RNAcentral lists this ribosomal RNA (794 nucleotides) under Methanosaeta sp. enrichment culture clone A5_49. RNAcentral describes it as "bacterial SSU rRNA". It matches the Rfam family "Archaeal small subunit ribosomal RNA", at positions 85 to 879 of the family's 1478-position model. The record is from RNAcentral. Lineage: Archaea; Methanobacteriati; Methanobacteriota; Methanomicrobia; Methanotrichales; Methanotrichaceae.
ACUGCUCAGUAACACGUGGACAACCUACCCUUGGGUCUGGCAUAAUCCUGGGAAACUGGGUAUAAUUCCAGAUAGGUCACAGAUGCUGGAAUGCACUGUGGCCGAAAGCUCCGGCGCCCAAGGAUGGGUCUGCGGCCUAUCAGGGUUGUAGUGGGUGUAACGGACCUACUAGCCUACGACGGGUACGGGUUGUGAGAGCAAGAGCCCGGAGAUGGAUUCUGAGACACGAAUCCAGGCCCUACGGGGUGCAGCAGGCGCGAAAACUUUACAAUGCGGGAAACCGUGAUAAGGGAAUCUCGAGUGCCAGCAUAUAAUGUUGGCUGCCCAGAUGCCUAAAAAGCAUCUGUUAGCAAGGGCCGGGCAAGACCGGUGCCAGCCGCCGCGGUAACACCGGCGGCCCGAGUGGUAACCGCUUUUAUUGGGUCUAAAGGGUCUGUAGCCGGCCAAGUAAGUCCCUUGGGAAAUCUGGCAGCUUAACUGUCAGGCUGCUAGGGGAUACUGCUAGGCUUGGGACCGGGAGAGGUGAGAGGUACCUUGGGGGUAGGGGUGAAAUCUUGUGAUCCUCGGGGGACCACCAGUGGCGAAGGCGUCUCACCAGAACGGGUCCGACGGUAAGGGACGAAAGCUAGGGGCACGAACCGGAUUAGAUACCCGGGUAGUCCUAGCCGUAAACGAUGCUCGCUAGGUGUCAGUCACGGUGCGACCGUGAUUGGUGCCGUAGGGAAGCCGUGAAGCGAGCCACCUGGGAAGUAUGGCCGCAAGGCUGAAACUUAAAGGAAUUGGCGGGGGAGCAC